Molecule: long non-coding RNA, 752 nt
Organism: Oncorhynchus keta (chum salmon)
Lineage: Eukaryota; Metazoa; Chordata; Actinopteri; Salmoniformes; Salmonidae
Exons: 3
Source: RefSeq, a predicted model, not a curated record
CUACUUAGAACUCAGAAGACUAGAACAGCUGUCUAUAGGUACAUCUACAUGGAAUCCCCUACUUAGAACCCAGAAGACUAGUACAGCUGUCUAUAGGUACAUCUACAUGGAAUCCCCUACUUAGAACCCAGAAGACUAGAACAGCUGUCUAUAGGUACAUCUACAUGGAAUCCCCUACUUAGAACCCAGAAGACUAGUACAGCUGUCUAUAGGUACAUCUACAUGGAAUCCCCUACUUAGAACCCAGAAGACUAGUACAGCUGUCUAUAGGUACAUCUACAUGGAAUCCCCUACUUAGAACCCAGAAGACUAGUACAGCUGUCUAUAGGUACAUCUACAUGGAAUCCCCUACUUAGAACCCAUGAGACUAGUACAGCUGUCUAUAGGUACAUCUACAUGGAAUCCCCUACUUAGAACCCAGAAUACUAGUACAGCUGUCUAUAGGUACAUCUACAUGGAAUCCCCUACUUAGAACCCAUGAGACUAGAACAGCUGUCUAUAGGUACAUCUACAUGGAAUCCCCUACUUAGAACCCAUGAGACUAGAACAGCUGUCUAUAGGUACAUCUACUUAGUAUUUUUAUUAUUAUGAAAUGAAGGAACAUUUUUAAGAGUGGUUAGAGGGACAGGACAGGGGAAGGAUCUCCCUCUGCUCCGGUGCGUAUGUGGAUCAGGGACGGCAGCACUACCAAUAGACUAGCCCUAGGCACCGUGCCGAGCUAUAUCUGACACCUCUUCUAUCUUCCCUUUGCC